Molecule: ribosomal RNA, 496 nt
Filed under: uncultured bacterium
Lineage: Bacteria
Description: partial 16S ribosomal RNA
Rfam family: Bacterial small subunit ribosomal RNA
Source: RNAcentral
GAUGAACGCUGGCGGCGUGCCUAAUACAUGCAAGUCGAGCGAACAGAUAAGGAGCUUGCUCCUUUGACGUUAGCGGCGGACGGGUGAGUAACACGUGGGUAACCUACCUAUAAGACUGGAAUAACUCCGGGAAACCGGGGCUAAUGCCGGAUAACAUUUAGAACCGCAUGGUUCUAAAGUGAAAGAUGGUUUUGCUAUCACUUAUAGAUGGACCCGCGCCGUAUUAGCUAGUUGGUAAGGUAACGGCUUACCAAGGCAACGAUACGUAGCCGACCUGAGAGGGUGAUCGGCCACACUGGAACUGAGACACGGUCCAGACUCCUACGGGAGGCAGCAGUAGGGAAUCUUCCGCAAUGGGCGAAAGCCUGACGGAGCAACGCCGCGUGAGUGAUGAAGGUCUUCGGAUCGUAAAACUCUGUUAUUAGGGAAGAACAAAUGUGUAAGUAACGGUGCACGUCUUGACGGUACCUAAUCAGAAAGCCACGGCUAACUACGU